ACAACAACAACAACAAACUUUUCCCUAUUUCUCUUUUGGGGAUACAUGGUUAUCUGAUUUCACAAUUCUUAUUCCCUUUCCUAAGCCAAGAAGAGAAGCCCACCUUCUCUGAAAGAAUUUGUUGUCAUGCGACAGCAAGACCUCACAGGCAACCUGACUGGCUUCUGGGUGAAGAACCGCUAGUGCCCUGUUGCUUCAUGAAUGCUAAGAGACAUCACAGGUUAGAGGAAAAGAGAUAAGAAUAAGAGAAUAAUAAGCUGCAGAAGCCCACACUACUGAUCUGGCCACAAUUUCCCCACCUUCCUCUUGCAACCCAGGACAGCUUCCAGGAAAGCUUGUACAGGAUCUAGUCUUUCUGUAAGGAAUUGUUCACUCAUGAUGAGAUUCAGCAAUCCAACUUUAAUGUCAGACUAUGUGCUAGUAUCUUCAAGAAUUGAUAAAUUGUAUUAGUUUUUUUAAGCACACGGGUUUUGGCCUGGUUUAUAUUUUCUGUUAUUUGUUUCCAGUCUCCCUUAUGUCUGUUAAAUCCCAGGCUCCAAACCUCCUAGGGUUAAUGGUCAUUUCCUGCCGACUCCUCUGAAUCCCACUGUUUCCAUGGAUUUUGUCCAUCUGUAGCUGGAUGCCUCUUGACUAUUCUUCUCUAGUUUGGGUUUCCAGGUCAUGCCCAUUGAAAUAUGUAAGAAACCAACUAUCGCAUGAAAUGUGGUGGUUUUAAAAGCUUACAACUGCCUUUACACAAACUGCUGUCCUCAUUUAGCAGGCCAGGGGAGAUGGAGAAGGCAUGGUGCCAAGAACAAGGGAUAUAAUGAUGAGCAAGAAACAGAUACAAGCAAAUAAGUGAUGAUCCUUGCUACAUUGAGGAAAAACUCAAAGGAGCCAGGAAAGAAAGAAAAAUAAUGGAUUUGGGAGCAUGGGUGAAAGGUGUGUUGGGAGCUCUCAGCAGUUUCCAGCAUCCAAUAGCAGCAAAAUCCAGAAGGAUAAGGAAAUCUCAGCGGUAUUCGGAUAGCAGUGAUUAAGAAUACUCAAGACAACAGAAAACUGAGGACAGUUGUCUCUACUCCUCACCUCGUGCAAAGGGAUUGGCCAGGAAACGAAAAGCUUCAAAGCACUGGCCUUGAAAACAUAAAUCCGUAAAUUAUUUGCAAGCAUUCUUCUUCAAGUGAAGGUCCUGCUCUCACUGUCAUUGUGCACCUGGGAGUAUCCUCUGCGUGACCUUUCAGCUGAUUCCUGGCACUGAUUCAGAGAGUCAACAAGCCAGCCCGGUCUCAGGCAAUGGUCUGCACCCAUCUAUGCUCUCCUCUGACGGAUCAGUUUAUACAGCCCAUGGAAUUUCAGAAAAACAGAAGCCCAGGAUUGAGAGAUUGAUUCCAGAUCACACAGCCAGUGACUGGGGACAUAUUUUAUGCUGGAGUUCAUAUUCUCUCCAUGGCCCCUGCUGCCUCUCCUGCCAUGAUGAAGAUGAGAGCCUUGGACUCAGUCCUGGGUUCACAUCUAUUUCCACACUGCUUGGAAAAGCUAAUUAGCAUACGUGAACUUCAGUUUGCUUAUCUAGAAAUAAGGGAUGGUAAUGCUUCUAUGGCAGGGUAGUUGGGAGGAAGGAGAGGGCAGAGGCCACACACCCUUAGUGUGAUAUCUGAAAUAUGGUUAGGACCCAACCAAUAACAUUUGAUUGGCACUGGUGUUUUAUUUUUGCUAUUCUUUAUAAUGCCUUCAGAGGAGAAUUCCUUGGACCGUGCCCCCAAAGUUCCAAAUUCUUAAACAGAUCAACACCUGACCCAUAGCUUUCUGCAAAUGACUUUUGGUGCUGAUCGUAUGAGCCAUGUGGGUCCGGUGGGAAGCACUUCAGUGGAAAGUCCUCCCUCACACUGGGUUGAGGACGCAUGCCACUGUUUGGGUACAACAUGGAUUUCGUCAGCUAGUUCAAGCAAUGACCUUUUAAUAUUUUCACCAAGGGAAAUGGAGACAAAUUAACAGUAUUUGAGCCAGAGAAAACCCUGGGAGAUUGGUAAGGGUUGUAGUGUUCCCAAUAAUUUAGUAAAAUCAUAAGUACCCUGAGAAGUUCUGUUCAGGGCACCAAUUCUCAUCCAGUAUUAAUGUUUAAAUCUUCUGAAAUAGGCAUUGCACACUGAAGAAGCUUGUUCCUGCAACUUGGGUGGGGAAUUGUGGUAGAAACCAUGAAUUUGGAUGUCUGCCAGUUUGUCUUUCUUGAGCACUGUGCCCCUCACCCUGAUGCAGGAACCAAAGACCCGAGGUGGUGUGCAUCAAGAAUGCUAUGCAGUGCACAAAAAGGGAGCCUGACUGGGUCAGAACUGGUCCCUUGGUUCUGUGGCUUAAAGGCUAUCUCUGUGCUGUUUGGUGAGGAGGACCUGGAGACCAACGUCAGAACACUAAGCAUCUCUCUUUCCAGUGUGCCAGCUCGCAUCCUAGCAAGCAGCUCUGUCUUUACUGACACUGUCCUCUUCACCAAAUCCUCUGGCAGAUCAAAAUAGAACAAAACAACACAAAACCUCAUUGGAACAAGGGGUUUUGCUUAAUGAUUUCAGCUCAGUGUGGGAGAAGCUGGUAUAUGGUCACCCUGCCCCCUCAUAGAAAACAGUUUAAUGGGGCUUCCUUCUGUCUCUGUGUGUGAGAUACUACUCUUUUAAAUCAGAAUCCAUUCAUGGCUUGGUCUCAGCACUCAGGAGACUAAACUUCCCCUGACAUUUUGGAAGCAUGUUUGGAGUUUAAUUUAAUUGCAUUUAAUUGGGUCUCGGAGCAGCUCUAAACUUCUGAGACACCCCUGGAGCUCACUUGGGCUUCUGCCCCCCAGGAAUUUACUUAGGCGGAAUCCCUUGUAGGGGACUAACAGCCCACCAGAGUCAUUUAACUUCCUCCUAAAUGUAAUGAAGGAGCAGGCUGCUGGGAGGGGCUUUCUGCCCAUUUCUUAGCCCCCUUGAAUCUAAUACUGUGAUUCUUAAUCCUACCAGACCCACCACCUACUUAUAGCAAGCAUCUUAUCAUGUCCUCUGUACUAUCCUAAAAUGAAAUUCCUGUUCACACAAUGAAAACAUUAAUUUAGCAUCUUAGCAGUAAUAUAGGUGAGAAAUAAAAAGAAGGAAAUUUCUACUAAAACGAGAUGUGUUUCAAUAUGUAAAUUUUCAAACACAACCUCCAUGAAGGUGUUGCAUACUGGGAUUCAUAUUUGGAAACUCUGUGAAUGCAGAGGCUGAAAAAAAUGGGCUCACAGAAUCUAGGACCCAAAACUACCAUUUGUGCUGUUAUUAGAUAAGUCAUGGUACCGUCCAAAAUGAACAACUCUGGGAAGUUUCAAACAAUGGAAACUCUUUCUUUUGAUUUACAUGGUGGUUGGGUUUCUGCAAAAUUAGUAUCUUGCAAAAGGUACUUUGUAUUUAUAGGUGAGACAGAGUUGUGUUCUUGGCUCUGAUAAUUCCUCAUGGCCCUCUGUGUGAAGUGAUGUGUGAAGUUUGUGGAAAGUAGGGCAGUUGUUUGUUGGGUGGAACUGUCCCAGGAGUUGUGGGACAUCUGGCAUUUCUGCCUCUUCCCAUCAUUGGGGCAACCAGAACAGUUGAUUGGACAAAUUUUGCUCUUCAUGGAUUUCAUAAUUUAGAAAUUAAAUUGGCACCAUUGAACUCAUAACUCAUACUCCCUGUUCUUAUUGAUGUGGCAGUAUGCUCGGACUUCUGCAAAAAGUGGUGGGGAAUUGU
Long non-coding RNA from Mustela erminea (ermine), 3704 nucleotides. RefSeq lists it as uncharacterized. The record is from RefSeq and is a predicted model, not a curated record. NCBI's taxonomy places the organism in Eukaryota, Metazoa, Chordata, Mammalia, Carnivora, Mustelidae. The transcript is spliced from 7 exons.